AGUAGGGUGGCUGAGAGAAUAAGCGGUGGAUUGUAAAUCCAUAAACAAAGGUUAAACUCCUUUUUCUACUA
This 71-nucleotide transfer RNA is filed under the name Pseudocentrotus depressus. RNAcentral's name for it is "tRNA-Tyr". It matches the Rfam family "tRNA". Rfam says of the family: Transfer RNA (tRNA) molecules are approximately 80 nucleotides in length. Their secondary structure includes four short double-helical elements and three loops (D, anti-codon, and T loops). The record is from RNAcentral. Lineage: Eukaryota; Metazoa; Echinodermata; Echinoidea; Camarodonta; Echinidae.